CUACGGGUGGCAGCAGUGAGGAAUAUUGCACAAUGGGGGGAACCCUGAUGCAGCAACGCCGCGUGGAGGAUGACGCAUUUCGGUGUGUAAACUCCUUUUAUAUGUCAAGAAAAUGACGGUAGCAUAUUAAUAAUCACCGGCUAACUCCGUGCCAGCAGCCGCGGUAAUACGGAGGGGCAAGCGUUACUCGGAAUCACUGGGCGUAAAGGACGCGUAGGCGGGUUGGAAAGUCAGGUGUGAAAUCCUACAGCUUAACUGUAGAACUGAACUUGAAACUUCUAAUCUAGAGUAUGGGAGGGGGAGAUGGAAUUAGUGGUGUAGGGGUAAAAUCCGUAGAUAUCACUAGGAAUACCUAAAGCGAAGGCGAUCUCCUGGAACAUUACUGACGCUAAGGCGUGAAAGCGUGGGGAGCAAACAGGAUUAGAUACCCCAGUAGUC
RNAcentral lists this ribosomal RNA (438 nucleotides) under uncultured bacterium. RNAcentral describes it as "partial 16S ribosomal RNA". It matches the Rfam family "Bacterial small subunit ribosomal RNA", at positions 339 to 795 of the family's 1533-position model. The record is from RNAcentral.